GGGGGAAUCUUGCACAAUGGGGGAAACCCUGAUGCAGCGACGCCGCGUGAGCGAUGAAGCCCUUCGGGGUGUAAAGCUCUUUCGACAGGAACGAUAAUGACGGUACCUGGAGAAGAAGCUGCGGCUAACUACGUGCCAGCAGCCGCGGUAAUACGUAGGCAGCAAGCGUUGUUCGGAGUUACUGGGCGUAAAGAGUGUGUAGGCGGUUUGCCAAGUCUAGUGUGAAAUCUCCCGGCUUAACUGGGAGGGU
This 250-nucleotide ribosomal RNA is filed under the name uncultured bacterium. RNAcentral describes it as "partial 16S ribosomal RNA". It matches the Rfam family "Bacterial small subunit ribosomal RNA", at positions 355 to 622 of the family's 1533-position model. The record is from RNAcentral.